This 384-nucleotide ribosomal RNA is filed under the name uncultured bacterium. RNAcentral's name for it is "bacterial SSU rRNA". It matches the Rfam family "Bacterial small subunit ribosomal RNA", at positions 30 to 416 of the family's 1533-position model. The record is from RNAcentral.
AUUGAACGCUGGCGGCAGGCCUAACACAUGCAAGUCGAGCGGUUGAGAGUAGCUUGCUACUUGAUGCAGCGGCGGACGGGUGAGUAAUGCAUGGGAAUCUGCCUGGUAGUGGGGGACAACGUUUCGAAAGGAACGCUAAUACCGCAUACGCCCUACGGGGGAAAGGGGGGAGUCUUCGGACCUCUCGCUAUCAGAUGAGCCCAUGUCAGAUUAGCUAGUUGGGGGGUAAAGGCCCACCAAGGCGACGAUCUGUAACUGGUCUGAGAGGAUGAUCAGUCACACUGGAACUGAGACACGGUCCAGACUCCUACGGGAGCAGCAGUGGGGAAUAUUGGACAAUGGGCGAAAGCCUGAUCCAGCCAUGCCGCGUGUGUGAAGAAGGCC